UUAGAGUUUCAGGUUGGAGACCAUGUUUUUCUUAAAGUCUCGCCGUCCAGAGGGAUACGCAGAUUUGGAGUACGUGGAAAGCUCAGUCCGCGUUUUGUUGGGCCCUUUGAGGUAUUGGAGCGUAUUGGACCGGUCGCUUACAGGAUAGCGCUACCACCGCGACUUGCCGGCAUUCAUGAUGUGUUCCACGUCUCGGCUUUGAGGAAAUAUGUGUUUGAUCCCUCCCACGUGAUUGACUUCACUCCACUUGAGAUUGGUGAGGAUCUGAGAUACGAGGAGCGACCGUUGCGGAUUCUUGCUCGGGAGACGAAAGAAUUGCGCAAUCGGGUCAUCCCGUAUGUAAAGGUGCAGUGGAGCAAUCAUGAGGAGCGGGAGGCGACUUGGGAGCCCGAGACGGUGAUGAGGGAGGCCUACCCCUACUUGUUCGAGUCCUGAGUUGAGGCCGGUUGGGAGCACGGUUGAGGACUUCGUCGCCGACGUCGCGCCGCGAGCCGUUCGAGCGCACGUGUUGCCGGGGCACUGCGAGGAGGCCGGGCGAGGGUGCGUCUUCGCCGUUCCUGUCGCCGCACCGCCGUUCAUCGCUGUUGAGAUUUCCUGCGUCGACUGUUAGUAUUUCGGCUCGUUCUCCGCGUAGGAGCGUCGGAUCGCGACGAAACUUGGUUCAUUGGAUUCUAGACUGCGAGAGGAUUCCAUAGAGCCCUCAUUUGCAAU
Long non-coding RNA from Ananas comosus (pineapple), 711 nucleotides. RefSeq lists it as uncharacterized. Lineage: Eukaryota; Viridiplantae; Streptophyta; Magnoliopsida; Poales; Bromeliaceae. The transcript has 3 exons. The record is from RefSeq and is a predicted model, not a curated record.